Molecule: long non-coding RNA, 621 nt
Filed under: Equus asinus (donkey)
Lineage: Eukaryota; Metazoa; Chordata; Mammalia; Perissodactyla; Equidae
Description: lncRNA (ENSEASG00005024212.1)
Source: RNAcentral
CUAAUGCCCAACCAGUUUGAGGGACCAACAAACUGCCUUUCAGUCUCAGAUGGUGCAACCACCUGAGACAAGGAUGGAGCGCUGGUUGCGCAUGUGCCACCUGGUGGACCAAAGAUGACCAAGACGAGGAAGUGCCACCGAUGAGGAUGAACUACCAUCAUUGUGAGGAAGGACAUCUGGAUAUUUCAGAAUUUAUCAGAAAAGAAAGUCCCCCCUCCACUUCCAAGGAAACUACACAAACCAGAGGAACCAUCUGCAGUUCCCACAAGGGAGGAAGGGCAGUUCAAUGGAGGACCGUCUGCAGCAUGAAUUCCUCCCCAUCCUUUAAGGUCAGCUCCCAGCAGGCAGACAUCACACCUUCCUGGAGACGGCCAGUCUAUUUUACCCCUUGUGUAGGGCCCUCACCACUUCUGCUGGGUAUUCGAAUAAUUAAUGGACAAUUCUCACUGUCCCGUUUCAGGAGUGAGCUCUUUGAGGGUAGGAGUGUGGACCAGGGAUGUAGCAGGUGCUCAACAAAUUUUUAAUUAAAAAAAAGAAACAAAGUCUUACUGAUUCUUUACACUGCAAUGGCAGGAGGAGCAAAAUGUAAGCUAGAGGUUGGACUAUGGAUACGACAUUUUC